AGGGAAUAUUGGGCAAUGGACGAGAGUCUGACCCAGCCAUGCCGCGUGCAGGAAGAAGGCUUUCUGAGUCGUAAACUGCUUUUGACAGGGAAGAAUACGCCCUACGUGUAGUGUGAUGACGGUACCUGCAGAAUAAGCACCGGCUAACUCCGUGCCAGCAGCCGCGGUAAUACGUAGGUGGCGAGCGUUAUCCGGAAUUACUGGGCGUAAAGCGCACGCAGGCGGUUCGGCAAGUUCGACGUGAAAACUCCCGGCUUAACUGGGAGAGGUCGUUGAAAACUGCCGGGCUUGAGGCAAUGAGAGGGGUGUAGAAUUCCCGGUGUAGUGGUGGAAUGCGUAGAUAUCGGGGGGAAUACCAGUGGCGAAAGCGGCACCCUAGCGUUGUUCUGACGCUCAUGUGCGAAAGCGUGGGGAGCGAA
Molecule: ribosomal RNA, 419 nt
Filed under: uncultured bacterium
Lineage: Bacteria
Description: bacterial SSU rRNA
Rfam family: Bacterial small subunit ribosomal RNA
Source: RNAcentral